RNAcentral lists this ribosomal RNA (349 nucleotides) under Salmonella enterica subsp. enterica serovar Cerro. RNAcentral describes it as "partial 23S ribosomal RNA". It matches the Rfam family "Bacterial large subunit ribosomal RNA", at positions 1084 to 1347 of the family's 2925-position model. The record is from RNAcentral. Lineage: Bacteria; Pseudomonadati; Pseudomonadota; Gammaproteobacteria; Enterobacterales; Enterobacteriaceae.
CCCAGACAGCCAGGAUGUUGGCUUAGAAGCAGCCAUCAUUUAAAGAAAGCGUAAUAGCUCACUGGUCGAGUCGGCCUGCGCGGAAGAUGUAACGGGGCUAAACCAUGCACCGAAGCUGCGGCAGCGAACGUAUCACCCAAGACAACUUUACGGAGUUGACGAUUGACGGAGCGAAGCGACGUCAAAGCGUUCAUUAAAGUCGAGUUGGCUUAGGGAUACGUUCGUUGGGUAGGGGAGCGUUCUGUAAGCCUGUGAAGGUGGCCUGUGAGGGUUGCUGGAGGUAUCAGAAGUGCGAAUGCUGACAUAAGUAACGAUAAAGCGGGUGAAAAGCCCGCUCGCCGGAAGACCA